RNAcentral lists this ribosomal RNA (139 nucleotides) under uncultured eukaryote. Its description in RNAcentral is "partial 18S ribosomal RNA". It matches the Rfam family "Eukaryotic small subunit ribosomal RNA", at positions 1299 to 1458 of the family's 1831-position model. The record is from RNAcentral.
UGGUGGAGCGAUUUGUCUGGUUAAUUCCGAUAACGAACGAGACUCUGGCCUAUUAAAUAGUUCGCCGAUUCCGUAUCUGUCGGCGUUAACUUCUUAGAGGGACAAGUGGCUUUUAGCCACGCGAGAUUGAGCAAUAACA